UAGGUCAGUGAGGAAAGGUU
This 20-nucleotide unclassified non-coding RNA is filed under the name Mus musculus (house mouse). Its description in RNAcentral is "oocyte_clustered_small_RNA11339". The record is from RNAcentral. Lineage: Eukaryota; Metazoa; Chordata; Mammalia; Rodentia; Muridae.